Non-coding RNA from Paramarasmius palmivorus, 95 nucleotides. The record is from the annotation of a GenBank genome assembly. NCBI's taxonomy places the organism in Eukaryota, Fungi, Basidiomycota, Agaricomycetes, Agaricales, Marasmiaceae.
GGGCACAUGGUGUAGUUGGUUAUCACAUCCGCUUAGCAUUGCAAUGUUGCAAUAUAGUAUGCGGGGGGUGCUGGGUUCAAUUCCCAGUGUGUCCA